RNAcentral lists this ribosomal RNA (997 nucleotides) under Ehrlichia canis. Its description in RNAcentral is "partial 16S ribosomal RNA". The stretch from base 1 to 375 matches the Rfam family "Bacterial small subunit ribosomal RNA", at positions 88 to 542 of the family's 1533-position model. The record is from RNAcentral. Lineage: Bacteria; Pseudomonadati; Pseudomonadota; Alphaproteobacteria; Rickettsiales; Anaplasmataceae.
AAUGUUAGUGGCAGACGGGUGAGUAUGCGUAGGAUCUACCUAGUAGUACGGAAUAGCCAUUAGAAAUGGUGGGUAAUACUGUAUAAUCCCCGAGGGGGAAAGAUUUAUCGCUAUUAGAUGAGCCUACGUUAGAUUAGCUAGUUGGUGAGGUAAUGGCUUACCAAGGCUAUGAUCUAUAGCUGGUCUGAGAGGACGAUCAGCCACACUGGAACUGAGAUACGGUCCAGACUCCUACGGGAGGCAGCAGUGGGGAAUAUUGGACAAUGGGCGAAAGCCUGAUCCAGCUAUGCCGCGUGAGUGAAGAAGGCCUUCGGGUUGUAAAACUCUUUCAAUAGGGAAGAUAAUGAGGUUACCUAUAGAGCCCCUUUACCCGUUUAUUCCCGUUAUUUGCCCCACUAACUUAUACAUUUUUUUACUUUUUAAAUGAUGCGUUUUUUUUUUUAAAACCCUUAAAAAGUUUAAAAUUUUUAAAUUACUUCCCCGGGGGGGGGGGGGAAAAAACCCCCCCCAAAAAAUUAAGCCUAAUUUUCCUUUAAUAAAAAUUAAAGGUUUUUAAAUUUUAACCCCUAUAAUUGAUAAAGUUAAAAUUUUCAAUUUUUUUUAUUUUUGAAAAUUUUUAGAAUUUUGAAUUUUGGGGAAACACCGAUUUACAAUUCUUCAUCCGACUUAAAUCUUUAAAUUUCUUUCUUAUUUUAUACCUUACACCUUAUUUACACAAUUUUCACAAAUUUUAAAUGAACAAAAAAUGUAAAACGUCAGCAGCCGCAAAUUUUGAAAAUUGAAACCGUGCCACACUAAAGAAAUUUAAAUUUCAAUAAACAUUUUUCACUAUAUCAUUUUUAAAUCUAAUUGUUACUAAUUUUGCUUUAUUUUUUUUUCAAAAUUUUUAAUCUGUUUUUCAACCACUGAUAUUAACGAAAGUUCUCUCCUAAACGUCAAAUUUGUUAACCACUAAAUCAAUCCGCACAAUGGCGAACUUGUGAAAACCCAUCCAUCU